This 465-nucleotide ribosomal RNA is filed under the name uncultured bacterium. RNAcentral describes it as "partial 16S ribosomal RNA". It matches the Rfam family "Bacterial small subunit ribosomal RNA", at positions 29 to 507 of the family's 1533-position model. The record is from RNAcentral.
AUGAACGCUGGCGGCGUGCUUAACACAUGCAAGUCGAACGAUGAAGCCCAGCUUGCUGGGUGGAUUAGUGGCGAACGGGUGAGUAACACGUGAGUAACCUGCCCUUAACUCUGGGAUAAGCCUGGGAAACUGGGUCUAAUACCGGAUAGGAGCGUCCACCGCAUGGUGGGUGUUGGAAAGAUUUAUCGGUUUUGGAUGGACUCGCGGCCUAUCAGCUUGUUGGUAAGGUAAUGGCUCACCAAGGCGACGACGGGUAGCCGGCCUGAGAGGGUGACCGGCCACACUGGGACUGAGACACGGCCCAGACUCCUACGGGAGGCAGCAGUGGGGAAUAUUGCACAAUGGGCGCAAGCCUGAUGCAGCGACGCCGCGUGAGGGAUGACGGCCUUCGGGUUGUAAACCUCUUUCAGUAGGGAAGAAGCGAAAGUGACGGUACCUGCAGAAGAAGCACCGGCUAACUACGUG